RNAcentral lists this long non-coding RNA (1550 nucleotides) under Eucalyptus grandis. RNAcentral describes it as "long non-coding RNA (EGRA_LNC006169)". Lineage: Eukaryota; Viridiplantae; Streptophyta; Magnoliopsida; Myrtales; Myrtaceae. The record is from RNAcentral.
AUCAAACCAGUUCAUUUACAGGACUAGGCUAUUUACAAAAGAUCUAUAGAAGAUCAGUCCUCAAAAACUAGGCUGUCCUAAGAUCAGCUAGACAGGUCCAUUCGCCAGCUCUUUAGUCGGGAUCGGCGAAGUCAAAAAUCCUCUCAGCGACCCUCACUGGUCUACCAAAAAGCUCCGGAGGAUCCGCCAUCUAGGGACCUGAAAUAUUAUCCCACAACCGGGAUGAGACGAUGUCUCAAUGAGUCCUACCCUCUAAAACUCAAUUAGGAAGAAAAUAAGCCCCAGGGUGCUCUAGCCACACAAAGAGAAUAGAGGACUUACCUCGCCUCAGUCCUUCCUGCACGUCAGUGCAACUCAUACGUCGAUAAAUUCAUACUAUAUAUCAAUUCAUAUCGUCUAUCAAUUCAUACCAUCUAUUCAUCCAUUAAUAAAUCACAGCUCACACAAGCUGAUAUAGAUGGUAGCUCGCACAAGCUGAUAUAUGCAUAGAUGAUAGCUCACACAAGCUGAUGUAUGGAUCGAUGCUCUCACAAGCUGACAUAUAUAAAUCAAUUGCUCGCCAAAGCGGAUAAUUCAAUAAUAAACCAACUCAUAUCUCAAUUCAAUCAAUCAAUCAAUCCAAUCGAUUCAAACUGGUCAUACAAAUCAAUUACGGUGCUAAAAGCUAACACCGGGUAUUUUCAAGUUAAAUACCACAACUUCAUCAAUUUCACGCAAUUCCACACUUUUGGAAUUAUUAACCAUAAUCAUCAAUCACUCAAUUUCUCAAUUUAAACAUACAAUUAGCACAAACCGACCGCACUACUGCCGAUCAGCACGAAAUUCUAACGACCGGCCAUCCCGGCAAAAUUUUCGAAAUUAUUAAAUAAUUAAAUUUAAUUCCGAAAAUUAAAUAAUUAAAUAUUAUAUUAUAAUAAUAUAAAAUAAUAAAAUAAUAUUUAAAAAUUCGAAAUAAUUAUUUAAUUAAAAAUAAUCAAUUAGGGCUUAAAUUAGAUUACACUAAUUUAAACAUACAAUUAGCCCUAAUUAAACAUCCAUUAAACUAAUCAUACAACUAAUCUAAUUUACAUUAAAAUAAUCUAAUCUAACACCUAAACCUAAUUAGACUAAUCUAAACACCCCUUAAGCAUGAUUAACUUGCUAAGCAAGGUUUAGAGGAUAAACUCACCGGUUUUGCGCGCCGGUGAGUUCACGACGACCACGACGCCAAGGCGGUCGAUAAACCCCGAAGUGGCGACACCAACGGAGGCCGGGAAGGGCUUGAAAACGGGCCACAAAGUCUGGAACUUCUUGCUGUCUUCUGCUUCUGAUUUGGACUGAACUGCAGAGAAGAAACCAGCAACUUCAACGGCGAAAACGGGCUGAUCGGAGCUCCGGCGAGCGGGUGGUUGGCAACCGGCGGCUCCCGGGGGUCAAGGGGAUCUUGCUGGUGGUUGGUAUGGGUGGAGGUAGGGUAGAAAUGGGGAGAAAAUGACUGAAAACCGCGAAACGGGCGGAACAGGCGGAACCAGGCGAGUCCAGACGGUCCGGCGAGCGGCGGCUUCGGGAGG